RNAcentral lists this long non-coding RNA (2805 nucleotides) under Setaria italica (foxtail millet). RNAcentral's name for it is "long non-coding RNA (SITA_LNC002118)". The record is from RNAcentral. Lineage: Eukaryota; Viridiplantae; Streptophyta; Magnoliopsida; Poales; Poaceae.
CUCUUUGAAGGCGUUGUGGUUCUGCUGGCCUGUGCGCACAGGGUCCUGGUGCAGCACCCGACCUCUUCUGCAAGACUGAUGCUGGCGCCUCCGGAAAAUCGGCAGGACGACCUCGAAGGGGACUGAGAAGACAUGAAGCAAUUUCAAACCACUUCAAAAGGGGAGGGGCUUCAUAUCGAUUGCAAAAACUGUGAGAUCUGUUAUACGACUGCCUUUUUUGUUUAGCUGCCUUGGGAAUCCUGGGGUGUUCAAUCUAGCAUAGACUAUCUAGCUAUCAGGUCUAGAUAGAUAAGCUCACUAGUCCUGUUUCUUUAGGCUGUAACGAAUAUCUGGUAUUUCAGUUUUGCAUGAAAUGGAAAUGGGGUCAAGCCUUGUCUCGAAAAAAUUGGGAGGGAAUACAGUAUAGUUAAAGAAAUAGUAUACUACAGAUUGACCUUCUGUGGCAGAAACAAUAGUGCAAGUAAAACUGUGAAGGAAUAAUAUCUCCUCGUACUUGCGCAGAGAAAAAUACAGAAUCAACUGUAUCACUGGCUGAGCAUCCAGAUAAACCAUUUGUUCUGGUCUUCAGGCAUCUGGAAAGACAGAAUACCAGAAAAGUCAGUUAUAAAGCAGGCUCUUCAGGAACCUAGUCAUCAAUAUUGUUUAGAGUUGGUUCAUGGUCGUAACAAGAGUAGAAAUUAUGUUUACGUUGUCCAACCCACUCAUUCUGGCAUAUAUUCUGUUCUAGACAAAAUAGUCUUGUCUCAGCUGAAGCUGACGCUAAUUUCCAGCCCUGAAUGCCAGCGGAUACCCAUCUCAUGGCCAUCUUGCAAAAAACUAACAGACAGCAAAAGAGAUAAAGAUAAGAUAAUUUUUAACUAACAUGAGGCUGAACUUCGGCACCUGGAUAGAUAUUUUCUGCUCCCAUUAGCAAACUGUGAUGCCAUAUUUUUUCAAGCCCUAUUUUGCCAUACAUCAUUUUUACCAGCAGCACCACACAAGAUUCCAAGGACCGGCUAUUAAAAUUUCUAUUAGAAAGCCAACUACAGAAAACGGACACAAGAUUCCAGGUGGAACAUGGAAUGCCCUGUAUGUUCGUUACCUGAACGAGGGAAACAAUGGAUCAACAGUGUAACAUCAUCGACUGCAGUGCAGGCACUGAAAUAAAGUAGUACAGAGCCUACGAAUGGAAUAUAUUAAUUAAACUAUGAUAACAGCUUAUUACUUGCCCACCAGACUAAUCCUGAUUCAAGAAAAAUUUAUAGUGUUUCCUUUUGCAAUAAAAUCAUGUUGUGACUUAACCAUAUAGUAUUUUUUAACAAACAAAUACUGGACAUACCAUUACUUGGUAAGUUUUUAUUGGGUUAGAAGUCAUGCACAUCAUCAAAAUAUACAUACUUCAGAUUAGAUGCAACUAUAAUUAAUUGUACAAAAGCAAGAGACCCCCAAUAAUUGAACAAAAUUACAAAGAUAACCGAUGAGUGAUGUUCACACUUUACACCUAAAAACAAUAAAGAACCAUUUGGUCCGAAUCAUUAAACUGUAUGAUUGAAUACUGAAGUCACUUCCAGAAAAUAAAAUUUAAGGGCAUGAUUCAAGUACUUGACACAUCCAUCUUUAAAGACUGCAUGUUAAUGCUCUCGUGCUGACUGUAGGUCCUGGGUCAAAAGCAUCUCAAAGGAAGCUGCUCCACAUAUGCGAUCACCACACCUCCAUGUACAUAACAUGCAGAUGAGGGCUCCAACGCUAGAAAAUGCCAAUUGCCUAUCUUGGCCAAUUGAUCAUGCCACUGCCAAAUUCCAAUUAUCUUUAAGUGCAAAACUAGGAUUUGUUCUUAUAAGCUCAUACUUCAAAACAUAUGAGUAGAACCAGGAAACGAGUUGAUCCUAAGAAGCUAAGGAACAAAUUGAACAUGCAAGUAGGAAACAAUCUGCCAGAUAUCUUACUAGUAACAACUGAAAGAAAACAUUGUCUUUAAGAGGCAAAAUAGCUAAAUAAAAGACUGCAAUUCACCAGAAUACCAUAUGCCAAUGCAGGAAAAUAGUGCUAUCUCACCUUCCGAACAUAUAAGAGCUUCCUGAACUAGUGCUGAAUAGAUACGUAUGCAUCAAUCACCGACAAUGGUCAGUGCCAUGACAACCAUCACAUUGUAAGCUCAGAAUCAGAAAUGCUGAGUACAAUUCAAAGGUUGUUGUAGCCUCUGUAGUCUGUACUUCUGAGAUACAUCUUUUACCUAGUUCAUCAGGUCAUAAACAGAAGUGAACCUAUGUGUGUCUUUACUGUCUUAUAUGUCAAGUAUUGCCAAUCCACACUGCCCUAAUAUAACCUGGUAGAAACUCCCAUAUUAAUUGUACAGCCCAUAGUUAAUGGAGCUAUCUGGUUUAUGCAGAGACAAGAGAAUGAGGUAUGGUAUGUUGUAAUUUCAAGUACUUUCAAUAUUCAUAUGGCAUGGUGAAGCAACAUUAUCACAAUUAACUUACAUCUCUGGAGGAACUAGGCAGCAAAAUUAAACACAGCAUAAUAGGCAGACAGUAAUUGCAUAUACAUAUUGCUAGUGUCUAACGCUGAUGACUAAUUCAGUUGGCAACAUCUUAUCCAAGUGCAGCUUUACGGAAGAUAAAAGAAGAAUGCUUUCUAUAGGCAGCUUGGAAUCAACACUGUAAGAACCUCCUUAUUCUUUAUCAUCAUCAUGGCAACUAUCACUAGCAUCACCAUCAAUAUCAUCAUCCUCACUAUUUUCAACAAUGUGUGCAAGGGAAUUGGCUUGCAACUUUUUGAACUGGCUUAUAAAGUCAGUUGCUUCUGAGAUGAGAGCAUUUUUUGCAG